RNAcentral lists this ribosomal RNA (253 nucleotides) under uncultured bacterium. Its description in RNAcentral is "partial 16S ribosomal RNA". It matches the Rfam family "Bacterial small subunit ribosomal RNA", at positions 524 to 776 of the family's 1533-position model. The record is from RNAcentral.
UACGAAGGGGGCUAGCGUUGCUCAGAAUCACUGGGCGUAAAGCGCACGUAGGCGGAUUGCUAAGUCAGGGGUGAAAUCCUGGAGCUCAACUCCAGAACUGCCUUUGAUACUGGCGAUCUCGAGUCCGGGAGAGGUGAGUGGAACUGCGAGUGUAGAGGUGAAAUUCGUAGAUAUUCGCAAGAACACCAGUGGCGAAGGCGGCUCACUGGCCCGGUACUGACGCUCAGGCGCGACAGCGUGGGGAUCAAACAGG